ACUCUACCACUGGCGGGCAGCAGCUGUCUGGAGCGAAUGGUCUGGGAUCUCGCGCAGCCGGCUGCAGCUUUUCCCGGCCAGGAGCUAGUGUGUGGGGGCGGGAGAAGAGCCGUGGGCGGGGAGCCGGCCGGUCCCAGGCUGCGGCUGCUGCCGUGGGGCUGCAGCUCCCCAGCUCCGCCAGCUGGAGCGCUUGGAGGUAGAGGGAAGGUCUUGACUGGGUGGCUGGACCGGUGGCAGACUCAAAUCCAGGCCAACUGUAUCUGAGGUGUUGGAACGGAAGGAGGUCCAUUCCUGUUGGUGACAACACUGUGGCCCUGUUCUGGGAUGACCGAGAUGUUAAGGUCAGUGCAGUUUUCACUGGGUCAUUUGCAAAAUUAUAAUCAAGUAGGGUCUGUAA
RNAcentral lists this long non-coding RNA (397 nucleotides) under Dasypus novemcinctus (nine-banded armadillo). Its description in RNAcentral is "lncRNA (ENSDNOG00000049853.1)". The record is from RNAcentral. Lineage: Eukaryota; Metazoa; Chordata; Mammalia; Cingulata; Dasypodidae.